UGAGACAUGGUUCUCUCAUAAGGAAAAGAAGACACCAUGAGUUCUAAAGGCACUGUAUUUACCACCAAAAGUCUAAGGUGAAGAAAAGAACAGGAGGCAGUCUUCUUUUGAGGCCUUCUACGCUACCAUCUUGACACUCAGAAAUAUGACGAAGGCAGAGUUCAGUUAAUCAUGGGGUUUUGUUGGCCAAAUUGGGUUUGAUUAUCUUACUAGUUAAUUAGUCCAACCCAUACUUAUUGAAUUCCUGCUAUAUAGGAGACUUCUAGAAGAUAUUGAUAUGAGUAGGAGGGCGGAGGUCACUGGCAUAGGUAGGUGUUCACUGAGCACUAACAUAUAUUUAUCCAAUUAGCUACUUAAAUAGAACUGAGAAAAGGGCUCAAAGGGGGAAGGAUCCAGGGUCGUGAGAGCACGAGGGAAACACAGAGGGACAGAGAAGUGCCCCACCCCCAGGGAGCAGCAUGGGACCAGGUUCCGAAGCAGAGCAGGAGGUGACCGGAGAAGAGCAGAGGGCAGGGGACAGAGUCCCUGAGAGAAGGUCGUCUUGGUGGGUCACUGUGUGUUCUGGGAUAUCUGAGCUGAGCAGAGAUGAAAAAGCCUUGCUGUUCUAUGAAGUGGAGCUGGCCCAACAUGUCUUUCUCAUCAGAUGUCACCCCUUUAAAUGUUGACGGCAGUCGGUGUAUUUCUCUAAUUCGCUGAGACAACAUUUCAGUUCCUCCGCCUGCUCAUUCGCUGUGAUUUCUAACCUCGGGACUCGGCCAUCCUCAUCUAGGCAUCGCCAAGUUUAAUGUUCCUAAUGAAGUGUCUGCCUGGUUCCUUACUUCUCCACCUCCAGAAUGACUUGCAAUACAAAAGGAAUCAUAGUUCUUCCCUACUGCUCUACAAAACAUAUAAUUUAGCAUUUUUAAAGAAUGUCUAAUCUAACCCUUUAAGAAAGACACCACCACUCCUGCUUCUCAGAUGAAACACUCUCAG
Long non-coding RNA from Chinchilla lanigera (long-tailed chinchilla), 972 nucleotides. RefSeq lists it as uncharacterized. The record is from RefSeq and is a predicted model, not a curated record. NCBI's taxonomy places the organism in Eukaryota, Metazoa, Chordata, Mammalia, Rodentia, Chinchillidae. The transcript is spliced from 3 exons.